Pelobates cultripes (western spadefoot toad) is the source of this 93-nucleotide non-coding RNA. NCBI's taxonomy places the organism in Eukaryota, Metazoa, Chordata, Amphibia, Anura, Pelobatidae. The record is from the annotation of a GenBank genome assembly.
GUGUGUGAUUGUGUGUGUAUCUCUGUAGUUAAGUGUGUGUGUGUGUUUAUAUAUACACACACACACACUUAACUACAGAGAUACACACACACA